This 365-nucleotide ribosomal RNA is filed under the name uncultured eukaryote. RNAcentral's name for it is "partial 18S ribosomal RNA". It matches the Rfam family "Eukaryotic small subunit ribosomal RNA", at positions 592 to 975 of the family's 1831-position model. The record is from RNAcentral.
CAAUAGCGUAUAUUAACGUUGUUGCAGUUAAAAAGCUCGUAGUUGGAUUUCUGGAGGGAGCGUCGGCCCGUAUUUACGAGUGCGUGACGUCUCUGUCCAUCCUUGCGGGAAGGCACGGCAUUGAUUUGUUGUGUCGGAUCGCAUCAUUUACUGUGAAAAAAUUAGAGUGUUCAAAGCAGGCUUUCGCUUGAAUACAUUAGCAUGGAAUAAUAAGAUAGGACUUUGGUGCUAUUUUGUUGGUUGAGCCUAAAGUAAUGAUUAAUAGGGAUAGUUGGGGGCACCUGUAUUGCGUUGUCAGAGGUGAAAUUCUUGGAUUUGCGCAAGACAAACAGCUGCGAAAGCGUCUGCCAAGGAUGUUUUCAUUA